UUUACUGACGCUAAAGCUCGAAGGUGCGGGUAUCGAACAGGAUUAGAUACCCUGGUAGUCCGCACGGUAAACGAUGGAUGCCCGCUGUUUGCGAUAUAUUGUAAGCGGCCAAGAGAAAUCGUUAAGCAUCCCACCUGGGGAGUACGCCGGCAACGGUGAAACUCAAAGGAAUUGACGGGGGCCCGCACAAGCGGAGGAACAUGUGGUUUAAUUCGAUGAUACGCGAGGAACCUUACCCGGGCUUGAACUGCAGCGGAAGGAAACAGAGAUGUUGACGUCCUUCGGGACCGCUGUGGAGGUGCUGCAUGGUUGUCGUCAGCUCGUGCCGUGAGGUGUCGGCUUAAGUGCCAUAACGAGCGCAACCCUUUUCAUCAGUUGCCAUCAGGUGAUGCUGGGCACUCUGUUGAUACUGCCACCGUAAGGUGUGAGGAAGGUGGGGAUGACGUCAAAUCAGCACGGCCUGAACGGCCGGGGCUACACACGUGUUACAAUGGGGCAUACAGAAGGCAGGAUCAUGGCAACAUGGUUCAAAUCUUUAAAGUGCUCCUCAGUUCGGAUUGGGGUCUGCAACCCGACCCCAUGAAGCUGGAUUCGCUGGUAA
RNAcentral lists this ribosomal RNA (601 nucleotides) under uncultured bacterium. RNAcentral describes it as "bacterial SSU rRNA". It matches the Rfam family "Bacterial small subunit ribosomal RNA", at positions 736 to 1341 of the family's 1533-position model. The record is from RNAcentral.